GAUGAACGCUGGCGGCGUGCCUAAUACAUGCAAGUCGAGCGAACGGACGAGAAGCUUGCUUCUCUGAUGUUAGCGGCGGACGGGUGAGUAACACGUGGAUAACCUACCUAUAAGACUGGGAUAACUUCGGGAAACCGGAGCUAAUACCGGAUAAUAUUUUGAACCGCAUGGUUCAAAAGUUAAAGACGGUCUUGCUGUCACUUAUAGAUGGAUCCGCGCUGCAUUAGCUAGUUGGUAAGGUAACGGCUUACCAAGGCAACGAUGCAUAGCCGACCUGAGAGGGUGAUCGGCCACACUGGAACUGAGACACGGUCCAGACUCCUACGGGAGGCAGCAGUAGGGAAUCUUCCGCAAUGGGCGAAAGCCUGACGGAGCAACACCGCGUGAGUGAUGAAGGCCUUCGGAUCGUAAAACUCUGUUAUUAGGGAAGAACAUAUGUGUAAGUAACUGUGCACAUCUUGACGGUACCUAAUCAGAAAGCCACGGCUAACUUCGUG
Molecule: ribosomal RNA, 497 nt
Filed under: uncultured bacterium
Lineage: Bacteria
Description: partial 16S ribosomal RNA
Rfam family: Bacterial small subunit ribosomal RNA
Source: RNAcentral